CCUAGGCAGGAAGCACAGUUCAUAUUUAUGGAACAGAACGGGACAGCUAGAUGCUUUGGUUCUUUGGGGGAAGUAUUUAGCCUAACCCAAUCACAACAUAUAUAUUUUCUAACUCAGGGAUUCAUGAGUUAUUUUCAUAGAUUGCUCAUGGUUAUUACCGAAGGUUGCUCUGUCUCUUUGAAACCAAAAGCUAUAAAGAACUACAGAUUCUCUUCCUCCUAAACCAAUUCUAGUCCAUGCACAUAACAAAAGAUCAAAAUACAUCGAGCAAAAACUGAAAGAACUGAAAGAAGAGACAGAUAAACAAAGCAACUUUGAAAAAGAUGUAAAACGUUAGAGGCUUUAAAAUAUUUUAUUAUUAUUAUUUUUAGCAGAGGUGAGGUCUUGCUAUGGCACCCAGGCUGGUCUCAAACUCCCAGGCUCAAGCAAUCCUCUCACUGACAUGUGACCCGGUCAUUCCACUUCUAUUAAUAGGUGUUUACCAGAAAAGAAAGCAUAGACCCACACAAAGACUUGUAUGCACAAAUUAAUAGUUUUAUUUGCAAUAAAUUAUUGAUAAACUUUACAACAUGUGUGAAUCCAAAAAUACCUAUGUUGAGUGAAAGAAGCAAGACAAGAAAACAGGUGGGGCGUGGUGGCUCAUGCCUGUCAUCCCAGCACUUUGGGAGGCCGAGGCAGGUGGAUCACGAGGUGGCGUGAACCCGGGAAGUGGAGCUUGCAGUGAGCUGAGAUCGCGCCGCUGCACUCCAGCCUGGGUGACAGAGCAAGAAUCCGUCUCAAAAAAAAAAAAAAAAAAAAGACUAGAAAAGAGUAUAUAUUAUAGAAUUCUUGUAAUUGCUAAUCUCGGCCCAUUGCAACCUCCGCCUUCCAGGUUCAAAUGAUUCUCCUGCCUCAGCCUCCUGAGUAGCUGGGAUUACAGGACUGUGCCACCACACCUGGCUAAUUUUUGUAUUUUUAGUAGAGACAAGGUUUCCCCACGUUGGCCAGGCUGGUCUUGAACUCCUGACCUCAAGUGAUCCACCCACCUCGGCCUCCCAAAGUGCUGGGAUUACAGGCGUGAGCCACCAUGCCC
Molecule: long non-coding RNA, 1072 nt
Filed under: Homo sapiens (human)
Lineage: Eukaryota; Metazoa; Chordata; Mammalia; Primates; Hominidae
Description: non-protein coding lnc-SERPINB1-1:5
Source: RNAcentral